AUGAUGAAGAGUAAAGCAGAUGCAAAUGCUGCAACUAUUGUACCAAAGAAAGUACAGAAACUAGCCGAGGACUGGAGUUGUGCACCACCAUACCAGGUUAGUGCACCAUCUGAAUCUGGUCUAAAUGAGCAUCUUGGAGGAAGAGAACAUAAGGCAAAGUUGGCACAAUGUGGCGUCAGCAAGGCGACCAAAGGUAACAAAAGCUGCUUGCAGACGACCACUGGGAAUGUGAACAACACAGAUCCUUCUGAUGCACCUAAGAAAAUAUGCAUGCUAGUAGACGGUGCAACAUGUGAAGCUGGUCUAAAUGAGGAUCUUGGAGGAAGAAAACAUGAGGCGAAGUUGGUACAAUGUGGCGUCAGCAAGGCGAUCAAAGAUGACAAAAACUGCUUGCAGAUGACCACUGGGAAUGAGAACAACACAGAUCCUUGUGAUGCACCUAAGGAAAUAUGCAUGCUAGUAGAUGGUGAAAUGCAUGAAGUUGUUCGGAAGAACAACUAUCUGUGGUGUGAUCGCUGCAGAGUCAGGUGUGAUAGUAAAGUCAUCAUGGCUGGCCAUCUGCGGAGCAAGAAGCACAGUAAGUUAAACAAGGUUUGGACAUCAAUAAAGGCCGUGAGGACAAAUACCGAUACUAAGGAAGGUUUGCCUUCUUGUGGAAGUCAGGUAAGUACAAACAGCCCUACUGAAAUUCCAGCGGUAAUUGAAGGCGACAUAAAUAUGACCACCGGAGUAGAUGAAAGCGGCCCUGUAGAAAAUGCAGUCCAGAAAGAAAUCCAUCCGCGGAGCAAGAAGCACAGUAAAUUAAAUGAGGUUUGGACAUCGAUAAAGGCUGUGAGGACAAAUACCGAUACUAAGAAACAAAUCCAUACGAGGAGCAAGAAGCAAGGUAAAUUAAACAAUGUUUGGACAUCGAUAAAGGCUGCGAGGACAAAUACCGAUACCAAGGAAGAAAUCCAUCUGCGGAGCAAGAAGCACAGUAAAUUAAACAAUGUUUGGAUAUCGAUAAAGGCUGUGAGGACAAAUACGGAGACUAAGGAAGGUUUGCCUUCUUGUGGAAGUCAGGCUCUUUCAUCAAAUCCAAAGGUUCCAAUGGUGAAGAGGAAAGGAGAUGCAAAUGCUGCAACUACUGUGCCAAAGAAAGUACAGAAACCAACCAAGGACUGGAGCUGUGCACUAUGCCUGGUUAGUCGACAAUGUGAAGCUGCUCUAAAUGCGCAUCUUGGAGGAACAAAGCAUAAGGCAAAGUUGGCACAGUGUGGCGUCAGCAAGACGAUCAAAGAUGGCAAAAACUGCUCGCAGACGACCACUGGGAAUGAGAACAGCACAGAUCCUUGUGAUGCACCUAAAAAAAUAUGCAUGCUAGUAGACAGUGCAAUGCAUGAAGUUGUUCGGAAGGACAACUACCUGUGGUGUGAUCACUGCAGAGUCAGUUGUGAUAACUACGCCACCAUGGCUUGCCAUCUGCAAUGCAAGAAGCAGAGUAAAUUAACCAAGGUUUGUUCAUCGAUAAAGGCUGUGAGGACAAAUACCAAUACUAAGGAAGGUUUACCUUCUUUUGGAAGUCAGGUAAAUACAAACGGCUCUACUGAAAUUCCAGCGGUAAUUGAAGGCGACAUAAAUAUGACCACCGCAGUAGAUGAAAGUGGGCCUGUAGAAAAUCCAGUCCAGAAAGAAAUACAAAGAAUGGCCACCAUAUGGGCAAUGUUUUCUUGCUAA
Molecule: ribosomal RNA, 1716 nt
Filed under: Triticum aestivum (bread wheat)
Lineage: Eukaryota; Viridiplantae; Streptophyta; Magnoliopsida; Poales; Poaceae
Description: partial small subunit ribosomal RNA
Source: RNAcentral